Molecule: ribosomal RNA, 1362 nt
Filed under: uncultured bacterium
Lineage: Bacteria
Description: bacterial SSU rRNA
Rfam family: Bacterial small subunit ribosomal RNA
Source: RNAcentral
AUUGAACGCUGGCGGCAGGCUUAACACAUGCAAGUCGAGCGGUAGCACAAGAGAGCUUGCUCUCUGGGUGACGAGCGGCGGACGGGUGAGUAAUGUCUGGGAAACUGCCUGAUGGAGGGGGAUAACUACUGGAAACGGUAGCUAAUACCGCAUAACGUCGCAAGACCAAAGAGGGGGACCUUCGGGCCUCUUGCCAUCAGAUGUGCCCAGAUGGGAUUAGCUAGUAGGUGGGGUAAUGGCUCACCUAGGCGACGAUCCCUAGCUGGUCUGAGAGGAUGACCAGCCACACUGGAACUGAGACACGGUCCAGACUCCUACGGGAGGCAGCAGUGGGGAAUAUUGCACAAUGGGCGCAAGCCUGAUGCAGCCAUGCCGCGUGUGUGAAGAAGGCCUUCGGGUUGUAAAGCACUUUCAGCGAGGAGGAAGGUGGUGAACUUAAUACGUUCAUCAAUUGACGUUACUCGCAGAAGAAGCACCGGCUAACUCCGUGCCAGCAGCCGCGGUAAUACGGAAGGUGCAAGCGUUAAUCGGAAUUACUGGGCCGUAAGCGCACGCAGGCGGUUUGUUAGUCAGAUGUGAAAUCCCCGGGCUCAACCUGGGAACUGCAUUUGAAACUGGCAAGCUAGAGUCUCGUAGAGGGGGGUAGAAUUCCAGGUGUAGCGGUGAAAUGCGUAGAGAUCUGGAGGAAUACCGGUGGCGAAGGCGGCCCCCUGGACGAAGACUGACGCUCAGGUGCGAAAGCGUGGGGAGCAAACAGGAUUAGAUACCCUGGUAGUCCACGCUGUAAACGAUGUCGAUUUGGAGGUUGUGCCCUUGAGGCGUGGCUUCCGGAGCUAACGCGUUAAAUCGACCGCCUGGGGAGUACGGCCGCAAGGUUAAAACUCAAAUGAAUUGACGGGGGCCCGCACAAGCGGUGGAGCAUGUGGUUUAAUUCGAUGCAACGCGAAGAACCUUACCUACUCUUGACAUCCAGAGAACUUUCCAGAGAUGGAUUGGUGCCUUCGGGAACUCUGAGACAGGUGCUGCAUGGCUGUCGUCAGCUCGUGUUGUGAAAUGUUGGGUUAAGUCCCGCAACGAGCGCAACCCUUAUCCUUUGUUGCCAGCGGUUCGGCCGGGAACUCAAAGGAGACUGCCAGUGAUAAACUGGAGGAAGGUGGGGAUGACGUCAAGUCAUCAUGGCCCUUACGAGUAGGGCUACACACGUGCUACAAUGGCAUAUACAAAGAGAAGCGACCUCGCGAGAGCAAGCGGACCUCAUAAAGUAUGUCGUAGUCCGGAUUGGAGUCUGCAACUCGACUCCAUGAAGUCGGAAUCGCUAGUAAUCGUAGAUCAGAAUGCUACGGUGAAUACGAUCCCGGGCCU